CCCUUAGAUGUUCUGGGCCGCACGCGCGCUACAAUGGUCUUCGCAAACGGAUGCAUUCUCGAAGGAGAAUGCCAAUCUUGGAAUCUAUGCCUUGGUCGGGACAGUUGCUUGCAAUUUUUCGACUCGAACCAGGAAUUCCUUGUAAUCGUGACUCAUCACAUCACGAUGAAUACGUCCCUGCCCUUUGUACACACCGCCCGUCGCUCCUACCGAUCGAAGAGUUAGGUGAAUUGUUUUGAUCGAUAAGAUUUGACUAUGGUCAACUCUCGUUGUGAAAUUCUGUGAAUCUGACUGUUUAGAGGAAGGAAAAGUCGUAACA
This 319-nucleotide ribosomal RNA is filed under the name uncultured eukaryote. RNAcentral's name for it is "partial 18S ribosomal RNA". It matches the Rfam family "Eukaryotic small subunit ribosomal RNA", at positions 1470 to 1796 of the family's 1831-position model. The record is from RNAcentral.